RNAcentral lists this ribosomal RNA (226 nucleotides) under uncultured bacterium KC319. Its description in RNAcentral is "partial 16S rRNA". It matches the Rfam family "Bacterial small subunit ribosomal RNA", at positions 216 to 440 of the family's 1533-position model. Lineage: Bacteria; Pseudomonadati; Bacteroidota. The record is from RNAcentral.
UGAUAAAAGAUGGCUAUGCGUCUUAUUAGCUAGAUGGUAAGGUAACGGCUUACCACGGCAACGAUAAGUAGGGGCCCUGAGAGGGGGAUCCCCCACACUGGUACUGAGACACGGACCAGACUCCUACGGGAGGCAGCAGUGAGGAAUAUUGGGCAAUGGAGGCAACUCUGACCCAGCCAUGCCGCGUGCAGGAAGACUGCCCUAUGGGUUGUAAACUGCUUUUAUA